GGUUGUAGCUCAGUGGCAAAGCGCUUGUCUAGCAUGUGUGAGGCACUGGGUUCAAUUCUCAGCACCA
Molecule: transfer RNA, 67 nt
Filed under: Marmota monax (woodchuck)
Lineage: Eukaryota; Metazoa; Chordata; Mammalia; Rodentia; Sciuridae
Description: tRNA.Ala
Source: RNAcentral